UAUAACAUAUGUAAAGAAACUGUUAAACGUGAGCGUUACUGCACUGGAUCCCAAAGGCUGGGGUGAAAUGUUUUCUUAAUGUCCAGUGCCCACUGUCUUAAGAUUUGGUCAAUAUAA
RNAcentral lists this small nucleolar RNA (117 nucleotides) under Nannospalax galili (Upper Galilee mountains blind mole rat). Its description in RNAcentral is "Small nucleolar RNA SNORA81 (ENSNGAG00000006738.1)". It matches the Rfam family "Small nucleolar RNA SNORA81". Lineage: Eukaryota; Metazoa; Chordata; Mammalia; Rodentia; Spalacidae. The record is from RNAcentral.